This 1162-nucleotide long non-coding RNA is filed under the name Anas platyrhynchos platyrhynchos (common mallard). Its description in RNAcentral is "lncRNA (ENSAPLG00000022282.1)". Lineage: Eukaryota; Metazoa; Chordata; Aves; Anseriformes; Anatidae. The record is from RNAcentral.
UGGCCAACUGCAUUUUUGGGUCUUGGUGUCACACACCGAACAAGAAAGAUUCAGAUUGAAGAGUUACGGGAGGCCUAUAUAGCUCAAUGAGGUCUUUGAAAUUCAUAAGGAGAGAAGGGCACAGCCAGUACCUAUACUGACCCUAUGUCACACCUUGCCUCAGCUUCAGGGUUGGUGGCAGCUUCUCACGCCAAGUGAGCCCAUGUUCUCCAUGUUCCCCACCACAUGGGGAAACCAUUGCCACCGGAAGGAGAAGACUGAAUGGAGGCCCAAGGCUCCCUCUCCAGGGGACAGAGGAAGAAGCAUCUCAGGAACACAGCUUGUCUUCUUCACUGCCUGUUCGGGUGUGGGAAGGGUCUCUCUCCACUGACUCAGGAGACCGGGCAAUAAUCCUUUUGCAACCUCAUGGGCUGUCAGUCACCUGAACUCAGCUGGCUUCACUUUUUCCUUCCAUUCAGUUCAAUUGUAUGACACUGAUUAUUUAGAUGAGUGUUUUCUGAAGAUUGUUCAUUUUUUGUGGUCUCAUACACAUAAGAUUUCUAAUGGAUUCUGGAAAAGCACAGUCUCAUCUCCAUGCCUUUAACUGACUAAACAUGCUACUGGCUUCAGUGCCAGUUUAGCCACUUCCUCCAGACAAGAAUGAAACUGUAAAAAGGUUUCUAAGUCAGAAUUGCCUAAACAUUUAUUCCUGGCCUCACUGAACUAAAACCGCUGUACAAGAGGGCAUUGUGCCCCUGUGUGCUCCCACGCAGCAGUCAGAGCAGAUUAUCUGCAGUCUAUAGCCCACCAAAUCCAUUGUCAGUAAUGUGGAAGAAACAUUCCCACUUCGCUGAUGAGAAAAAAGCCUCUAGUCUGGUGCACAAGAGAAGGGUUAUUAUCUUUCCAGAUGCAUCUCAACCUCACAUGUGUCAGUGGGAAGUAAGUGCACAGAUGGAGGAAGUGAACUGCAGUGGUUGCUGAAUGCAGUGGGAUGUUCAGUGCAAAGGUCUCAGCAUCAGUUUUUCUCCCACUUCUGUGGCACUGUUUUGUAACUUCAGAGUAAUUCCUCUGUCAUUAGAGUGGUUUUUUUUAGGUUGUGUCCAGGGGCUAAAUGAAGGAUAUAUAUAAAGAACAAGCCAUUUCUCAGAGAAAAAAAAUUUUACCUGGAGGUCCCUCGGGAAAG